RNAcentral lists this transfer RNA (34 nucleotides) under Gerrhonotus infernalis. RNAcentral's name for it is "partial tRNA-Ser". The record is from RNAcentral. Lineage: Eukaryota; Metazoa; Chordata; Lepidosauria; Squamata; Anguidae.
GAAAGAUUACACAAGAACUGCUAAUUCCUGUACC